This is a long non-coding RNA of Diachasmimorpha longicaudata, 650 nucleotides long. RefSeq lists it as uncharacterized. The transcript has 2 exons. NCBI's taxonomy places the organism in Eukaryota, Metazoa, Arthropoda, Insecta, Hymenoptera, Braconidae. The record is from RefSeq and is a predicted model, not a curated record.
GUCCUCCCUCCAUCAACAAAAUGCUAUUUUUUAAUUGUAAAAAGUUACUAGCCAUCUGUAUAUAACUAAAUCCCACGAAAUUUAUCUUUCUCCGGUGAUAAACCUGACCACCAGUCUGUAGGGAAGGAUCUUACUCCCGCCGGAAUAUUUCUAUCUCACGUUUGAUAAAAUAAUUUGCACUUGAUUUUGGCUUUCCACCGGAACCGGAAACCAAAAUCCUGCAUAAUCCUUAUUCCCUGAAAUUUUUCCUCCGAGGAGUUGUAUAAAGAGGUCUCCGACGAGACUGACAACAUUAGAAUCUCGACAACACUUGUAUACGCAAGAGAAAGAUUAUUUUUUACGAUGAAGCUCGCUGUCUUGAUCUUCACGAUUCUUUCGAUCGCUGUCCUGGUCACGUUAUCAUCAGCGGCAGAGGAACCAAACGUCAUUGUAGUGGGAAAUCCUGAGGAUCUCGGAGGAUCAGAAGGACUCGUGAGAGGCCAACGUGGCAUCAGGGACUUUUUCGGUAAAAUAUUCAGCUUCUUCGGCUGAACCCAAUGAAGAUUGAACCCAAUCAAUUAAAUCCAAUAACUACUACACUGCGAAAAACCAAAACUAUGUGACUUACUCUGAUUUCGAUAAUGUUCAAUAAAUUGAAAAAAAAAAUCUGA